Long non-coding RNA from Electrophorus electricus (electric eel), 1828 nucleotides. RefSeq lists it as uncharacterized. The record is from RefSeq and is a predicted model, not a curated record. NCBI's taxonomy places the organism in Eukaryota, Metazoa, Chordata, Actinopteri, Gymnotiformes, Gymnotidae.
CGUAAUUAUGGUCUUGAAGACAGUAACAUCAUCAAUGCACUUGCUAAUGUAGCCAAUCACUGAUGCUGUAUACUUCUCCAGGUUAACAGUGUCACCGUCAGUACCAGAAUCCUUGAAUGCGAUCCAUGUGGUCUGCUCAAAACAGUCCUGAAGAGCAGAGAUGGCUCCUGCUGGCCAGAUUCUCACCUGCUUCAGAAGCGGUUUCGAGCGUCUGACGAUCGAUCUAUAUGCAGGGAUCAACAUUACAGGCAUGUGAUCAGAUUAUCCGAGGUGGGCGCCCACGGUACGCACUGGAGAUGUUUAUGUAAACAAGAUCCAGCGCGUUCGCACCUCUCGUUGCAAAGUUCACAUGUUGAUAGAAUUUAGGCGGUGCAGACUUGAGAUUUGCGUGACUGAAGUCUCCGGCGACAAUAAACAGUCCGUCUGGGUGAACGUUCUGCAAUCCACUAAUCGCUACAUACAGAUCCUGGAGAGUUUCUCGUGUGUUCUCACUGGGUGGAUGUACAGCGCGAUUAUAAACACGGAGGUGAACAAUAACAAACUCCACCAGCGGUGAGCAGUACUUAACGACAAGCACAGCGUUUUUAAACCAGGUCUCAUUGAUAUAGACGCACACUCCUGCGCCGCGUGUUUUCCCGGAGAGUGCAUUGUCUCUAUCGGCACGGAUUGAGACUAAUCCCUCCAUUUGAUUUGCGGCGUCUGGAAUACUGUCGCUGAGCCACGUUUCAGUAAAGACUAAAACACAGCAAUAUCUGAACUCUCGCUGUGAAGUCUGCUGGAGUCUGAUGCAGUCCAGUUUAUUAUCCAAGGAGCAGACAUUUGAGAGAAAUAAAGAUGGUAGAGCAGGCCUGCUAGAAUUAGCUUUUAGCCUAGCACGGACCCUAGCUCCCUUCCCCCGCUUCUCCUUCCUUGCACACCGCUUGCGUUGUCUCCUCCUCCGUCAUUCGGACUCAGGCGAGGCCGUGGUCUGCAGGCCUGGUACGCAUAGCAACCCGAGCUCACAGAGCGUCUGAAGCACGCCGUCGUCCAGGAAAGGGGGAGCAAUCAGAGGCCUGUUAUUAGAGCUGUCGGGUAAAGCAGGGGACUAGAGUACUCUACUGUAAUUUCCCUCAUGAAGUACCCCAGCACGGCAUUCAGCAGAAGAUGAAGGCCUGGAAGGCAUCAUAUCUCCACGACAGCGGGCAAGCGGGACAAAUCUAUCUCGUGAAAAGCAACCAGCACACCCGGCCGAGCGAUUCACAAGGCGGCACAACAACAAGCGGAGAUGUUAUUGCUGUUAUUCUCCACCUUGGAAUAGGCCUAUAAAGCCACGCCUCUCAUGCCUCUUUGGAUGGGAGAGCCAUGCCCCUGUCUGGAGUGUCCUCCAGCACUCUCUACAAUAGCUGACUUCAUUACAGGCAUCCAGCAAACAGAGCACACGCCUCCAGUCCCAGGGUGUGAAAAAUAUUGGCGACUGGGUCGUGUUUGCAUUAUGUCUAUUCAAAAAGACGAAGAGAGGGAUGAAAGAGAAGGAGGACAUGUGGAGGAGAAGGGAGUCAGCACACAGCAUCUCAGCAGAAGGGUAAAGAUUUCUCCCCCAAGCUGGGGACUGUGGACCCAGCAACCCAAUCCAUGCUGUAUGACAUUUGUGUGUGUUUAUGUAUGUGUGCAUGCGCACAGGUGUGUGACCAUACCAUUAUUUAUUUAUGCACAUCUGUGAAUGCAAAGACUGAACGGAUAUCAAAAGUUCCCCUCAGUGCGACUCCCCUCCAAUGCAUGUGUAGUAUACAAAACUUGGAUUUUGUAUAACAUUUCUUCGCAAUAAAAAUUGACCUUGUAUCAGGACAGA